UACAGAGGGGGCAAGCGUUGUUCGGAAUUACUGGGCGUAAAGGGCGCGUAGGCGGCCUUCUAAGUCGAACGUGAAAUCCCCAGGCUCAACCCGGGAACUGCGUCCGAUACUGGAAGGCUUGAAUCCGGGAGAGGGAUGCGGAAUUCCAGGUGUAGCGGUGAAAUGCGUAGAUAUCUGGAGGAACACCGGUGGCGAAGGCGGCAUCCUGGACCGGCAUUGACGCUGAGGCGCGAAAGCCAGGGGAGCAAACGGG
This 253-nucleotide ribosomal RNA is filed under the name uncultured bacterium. Its description in RNAcentral is "partial 16S ribosomal RNA". It matches the Rfam family "Bacterial small subunit ribosomal RNA", at positions 524 to 776 of the family's 1533-position model. The record is from RNAcentral.